GGCCGGCUGGCGGAAUUGGCAGACGCGGUGGAUUCAAAAUCCACUUUCCUCACGGAAUUCGGGGUUCGAGUCCCCGGCUGGCUACCA
Molecule: transfer RNA, 87 nt
Filed under: Planctomycetota bacterium
Lineage: Bacteria; Pseudomonadati; Planctomycetota
Description: Planctomycetes bacterium (soil metagenome) tRNA-Leu
Rfam family: tRNA
About the family: Transfer RNA (tRNA) molecules are approximately 80 nucleotides in length. Their secondary structure includes four short double-helical elements and three loops (D, anti-codon, and T loops).
Source: RNAcentral